UUGACCUCUCAGGUGUCUGGUAAACUGGGCAUUCAAAAGCAUAGAGUUCUGAAUCUGUCUGGUUGGAAGCAUUUGGUGUUUUGGUAGAAAUCUUUAAAAAAAAAAAAAAUCCAGUAGUCAAAUUGCAUAGUUCAAGUGAAUCAGUAGCUCACAUUUUCUGUAUGCUAGGCUUGAGGGAUUUGUUAUGAAUUAGAUACAUUUAAGGUUAAAUGGUUAAUGUAACAGCAUGUGGAAAUUAUACCUGGAGAAUUUAAAGAGUAUUAUGGCUUUAUAGUACAUAUUAUUGAGAACAUGGGAUGUAAGUAUAGCAUCUACUUUAGAUUUUAGUAAUAUUUUGGGAGAUUUAAAAUCUUUGUUGUCUGAGUAUAUUAUCACAUCUCCCUUGCAAAAUUGUAGGGAAUGGGAAUAAGAGUGGUUUGUAUAUUACUGAAGCAACGCUCAGAGGUUUAGGACUUCAGGAUAAUAGCAGGGUGAUUACCUUUGUUGGCAAAAAGUAUAUGUCGGGAAAAUCACAGCACAUCUCCAGAGGCAGCGAGUCUUCCAGUAUUUUCUGUUCACGAUUCCAUCUUGCCCCCUCGAUGAAUAAACCAAAAAUGUAAACUCCAGUGUGAGAGGAAGCUGAGCCCUAAGAUGGAAGAGAGGUGGUGUCAGGGAUCCCCAGGAGAAGCAGCGACCAACUGGAGGCUCCGUCCGGAAUUGAGCCGACCGAUCCAGAGGGGCUCAUCCUGCCUAAGGCAUGUUGCCCCAAGUUCUAAGCAUGAAGACAAAGACCUUCAAACACAAUAAAUAUGCAA
RNAcentral lists this long non-coding RNA (794 nucleotides) under Homo sapiens (human). RNAcentral's name for it is "HSALNT0022917". The record is from RNAcentral. Lineage: Eukaryota; Metazoa; Chordata; Mammalia; Primates; Hominidae.